RNAcentral lists this ribosomal RNA (253 nucleotides) under uncultured bacterium. Its description in RNAcentral is "partial 16S ribosomal RNA". It matches the Rfam family "Bacterial small subunit ribosomal RNA", at positions 524 to 776 of the family's 1533-position model. The record is from RNAcentral.
UACGUAGGGGGCUAGCGUUGUCCGGAUUUAUUGGGCGUAAAGAGCGUGUAGGCGGCCAAGUACGUCCGUUGUGAAAACUGGAGGCUUAACCUCCAGCUGUCGAUGGAAACCAUUUGGCUAGAGUCCGGAAGAGGAGAGUGGAAUUCCCGGUGUAGCGGUGAAAUGCGCAGAUAUCGGGAAGAACACCCGUGGCGAAGGCGGCUCUCUGGGACGGUACUGACGCUGAGACGCGAAAGCGUGGGGAGCGAACAGG